ACAGUAAAGUGAGCAAAAGUGAAAGAAAGUCAGAGAGAAAAGAUGUGCAGAAACGUUACUUCAUCCUUAAUACAAGAACUGUGAUCAAACGCUGUGAUCAGAAAACUUAAGCUUCAAAUUGAGAGUACAUUUAAUACUACAAUUAAUUUUAGCAAAGCAAUUAUUACAAGUCUGAAAUUUCUAAUAGUGCUUUUAACACUUAUCAGUUUUGCAUCAAAAGCUCAAUAAAAGCCAAACAUGAACUACCUCCAUACCCGCCCCCACCAGGUGGCGUGGGAGAAUACACAAACACAGACACAGACACAGAAAACCACCCAGUUUCUUCAACUUUAGAAUAGUAAUUAACUAACCCUACACUGAU
Molecule: long non-coding RNA, 361 nt
Filed under: Olea europaea (common olive)
Lineage: Eukaryota; Viridiplantae; Streptophyta; Magnoliopsida; Lamiales; Oleaceae
Description: long non-coding RNA (OEUR_LNC015451)
Source: RNAcentral